RNAcentral lists this long non-coding RNA (256 nucleotides) under Castor canadensis (American beaver). RNAcentral's name for it is "WT1 antisense RNA conserved region 8 (ENSCCNG00000014864.1)". It matches the Rfam family "WT1 antisense RNA conserved region 8". The record is from RNAcentral. Lineage: Eukaryota; Metazoa; Chordata; Mammalia; Rodentia; Castoridae.
CCUCAACCUCAAGAUCUUUCCAUCUUAGAAAAUUCUUUCCAAGUAUUUUUGUGUUUUUUAACCUAUAAAAGAUAAUGGAAUAUAUUUUAUAGACUGGAUUUUAUCUCGUCCCCUUUCACUCUCUCUACUGCACUCAGUUUAAUAGUUGUCAGUUUUCCCUCAGCAUUGGAUUUAAUUACAUAGGAUCAAGAUAUUUUUGCUAAAUAUCUUUUGUGAAGUCCCUUUUGAUAUGUAGUAUAAUUUUAGAAUUCUACCU